UGCGGGAUCGUCUAAAGGUAGGACAGCGGCCUUUGAAGCCGUGAAUCUUGGUUCGAUUCCAAGUCCCGCAG
RNAcentral lists this transfer RNA (71 nucleotides) under Minisyncoccota bacterium. RNAcentral describes it as "tRNA-Gln". It matches the Rfam family "tRNA". From Rfam's summary of the family: Transfer RNA (tRNA) molecules are approximately 80 nucleotides in length. Their secondary structure includes four short double-helical elements and three loops (D, anti-codon, and T loops). Further hydrogen bonds mediate the characteristic L-shaped molecular structure. tRNAs have two regions of fundamental functional importance: the anti-codon, which is responsible for specific mRNA codon recognition, and the 3' end, to which the tRNAs corresponding amino acid is attached (by aminoacyl-tRNA synthetases). tRNAs cope with the degeneracy of the genetic code in two manners: having more than one tRNA (with a specific anti-codon) for a particular amino acid; and 'wobble' base-pairing, i.e. permitting non-standard base-pairing at the 3rd anti-codon position. Lineage: Bacteria; Bacillati; Minisyncoccota. The record is from RNAcentral.